This 24-nucleotide microRNA is filed under the name Amborella trichopoda. RNAcentral's name for it is "atr-miR8592". The record is from miRBase by way of RNAcentral. Lineage: Eukaryota; Viridiplantae; Streptophyta; Magnoliopsida; Amborellales; Amborellaceae.
AUCUAAUGAACUCAUCCCGUCAGU